Molecule: long non-coding RNA, 656 nt
Organism: Carassius gibelio (silver crucian carp)
Lineage: Eukaryota; Metazoa; Chordata; Actinopteri; Cypriniformes; Cyprinidae
Exons: 3
Source: RefSeq, a predicted model, not a curated record
CCUGAGUUGUUGCUAAGGUGAUGCUAUGCGGUUGCUAGGGUAUCUGGGAUGGUUGCUAGGGUGUUGCUAUGCGGUUGCUAGGGUACCCGGAGUGGUUGCUAGGGUGUUGCUAUGCGGUUGCUAGGGUAUCUGGGAUGGUUGCUAGGGUGUUGCUAUGCGGUUGCUAGGGUACCCUGAGUGGUUGCUAAGGUGUUGCUAUGCGGUUGCUAGGGUAUCUGGGAUGGUUGCUAGGGUGUUGCUAUGCGGUUGCUAGGGUACCCCGAGUGGUUGCUAAGGUGUUGCUAUGCGGUUGCUAGGGUAUCUGGGAUGGUUGCUAGGGUGUUGCUAUGCGGUUGCUAGGGUACCCUGAGUGGUUGCUAAGGUGUUGCUAUGCGGUUGCUAGGGUAUCUGGGAUGGUUGCUAGGGUGUUGCUAUGCGGUUGCUAGGGUAUCUGGGAUGGUUGCUAGGGUGUUGCUAUGCGGUUGCUAGGGUACUCUGAGUGGUUGCUAAGGUGUUGCUAUGCGGUUGCUAGGGUAUCUGGGAUGGUUGCUAGGGUGUUGCUAUGCGGUUGCUAGGGUACCCUGAGUGGUUGCUAAGGUGUUGCUAUGCGGUUGCUAGGGUACCUGAGAUGGUUGCUAGGGUGUUGCUAUGCGGUUGCUAGGGUACCCUGAGUGGUU